CAUUAAGAAGAACAUAAGAAUAAGUAUUUGUUUAUUGUGUGUUGCAGAGGAAAACAGGAAGCGAUUCAAAAACUCUCCACAUUCUUUAUGCAACCUAAGACGCCCUCUCAGCCUCUACCACGAAACAACAGCCCAGUGUAGGCCAUUACUUUAGUUAUUGUCUACUUCCUUUGAAUCCACUAAAGAUCACUUACCGUAAACGAUAAGAUUACAGGAUAGCAACUAAUCUCUACUUCCUCUUUCCUUAUAUGGCUGUUUGUGCAUCAAGAAUACCAGAGCCCACACCAGAGGAUCCUGACAGCUCAAAUAAAGAAGAAGAAGAUUUAGAUGUGUCAGACCUCCAGAUUCUUCCUCCUCCGGACCUGUAUGCCGACAUCACAGCUGGAGACCCCAUGCCUAUUUACAGCAAGUACGUACACUGAACAUCUUGAGUGAUCUUUUGUGACAACAUGCCCCAAUA
RNAcentral lists this long non-coding RNA (460 nucleotides) under Sinocyclocheilus grahami. RNAcentral describes it as "lncRNA (ENSSGRG00000035147.1)". Lineage: Eukaryota; Metazoa; Chordata; Actinopteri; Cypriniformes; Cyprinidae. The record is from RNAcentral.